This 402-nucleotide ribosomal RNA is filed under the name uncultured bacterium. RNAcentral describes it as "bacterial SSU rRNA". It matches the Rfam family "Bacterial small subunit ribosomal RNA", at positions 975 to 1375 of the family's 1533-position model. The record is from RNAcentral.
CAGCCCUUGACAUGCCUCGGACGGUUACCAGAGAUGGUUUCUUCUCUUCGGGGCCGAGGACACAGGUGCUGCAUGGCUGUCGUCAGCUCGUGUCGUGAGAUGUUGGGUUAAGUCCCGCAACGAGCGCAACCCUCGCCCUUAGUUGCCAGCAUUAAGUUGGGAACUCUAAGGAGACCGCCGGUGACAAACCGGAGGAAGGUGGGGAUGACGUCAAGUCAUCAUGGCCUUUAUGGCCAGGGCUACACACGUGCUACAAUGGUAGAAACAGAGGGAAGCCAACGCGCGAGCGGGAGCCAAUCCCAGAAAAUCUAUCGUAGUCCGGAUCGGAGUCUGCAACUCGACUCCGUGAAGUCGGAAUCGCUAGUAAUCGCAGAUCAGCAUUGCUGCGGUGAAUACGUUCCC